AUCCUAUUCUUCUCCACAUUGAAGCGUAAGUUUGACACGGCUGUCUAAAAAAUGGUGGUAAAGUGUAAGUAGACACGGCUCCGAAAAAUGGAGCUUUAUAGGCUGGCUGAUGUGACCUCACCAAACUUCAGAUAUUUGAAAUUGAAUAUAUGAACUUCGAUCUCACUAUUCUGAAUUAGAGCAGUCAGAGGCCACCACAUAAACUCUUUAAACCCAACGCCAAAAAAUCAAUAAUCCCUCGACUUCUUUUCACGUCAACGGCUGCCAAAUUUUAGACGAACACCAAAAAUGGAUUCAAUCAGUAAAACUAAGCUAUUUUACUUCCAAGAUAUGUUGACUCUUCAGUCGAAGUCCUCAUUCAUUUCUCAGUUUCAGGGAGAAGACAAUAGGAGUGCUUUGAUAUUGGAAUCCACCAUUUUUCAUCCACAAGGAGGUGGGCAGCCAUCAGACAUUGGGUUCAUUUCGAAUGAGGAAUCCGAUUUCAAAUUCAUUGUUGAUGAUGUUAGAUCAAAAGAUGGAGUGGUAUUCCAUUAUGGGUGUUUUGAUAGUUCUAGUGGUGGUGAACCGGAACUUGAAAAGGGGCAAGAAGUUUGCUUAUUUGUUGAUGAAAAGCGAAGAAUUCUUAAUUCUAGGUUGCAUUCAGCUGGACAUUUGUUGGAUACUUGCAUGCAAAAUGUGGGUUUAGGAAAUUUAGAGCCAACCAAAGGUUACCAUUUCUCUGAUGGGCCAUUUGUUGAGUAUAAAGGCAUAAUUCCGCAAAAUGAAUUGCAAAGUAAACAAAAGGAGCUGGAGCUCGAAGCAAAUGCGUUAAUAUCCAGAGGGGGAAAGGUUCUUGUUGCUGUUCUUCCAUAUGACGAAGCUUCAGAGUUAUGCGGUGGGUCUCUUCCUGAUUAUAUCUCCAAGAGUAGUACACCUCGUGUCGUGAAGAUGGGGAAUAGUCCAGGCUGCCCAUGUGGGGGGACUCAUGUUUCUGAUAUCAGGGAGAUCAAGAACUUGAAGGUUACCCAGAUCCGUGUAAAGAAGGGUUGCACAAAAGUGUUCUAUACCAUAGAAAUCUAACCUUGUCAGGUUCCAUUUGAAGAGAAGAAUCCAGAGUCAACUCGUAACAAGUUUAAAGAUGCGCAGCUCUUCUUUAAAAUGGAGUUCAGCAGUUUCAUGCAUGGUGGGGUCAAGCCGUGGGAGAAUGACUCUAUUGUCGCGUACGCAUUACUCACUGGCUUUCUCUAUCAAUUUCCAUAUAUAUCUUCACGCACUCUAGCUAUGACUCUCAGAGCUAUAAAUGCAAAUCUCAUCAAUAAAUUACUCCAAGUUACCAUCUACAAACGGGAACUGCCAACUGUUGCGGUUGGACAAGAGAGAAAGUACAUGCAGUUAGUGGAGACUUGAAACAAACAAUAGAUAGAAGUUCAUCUCUAUUCAUUUAUGUGCAUACUUGGUUUUUAUCAUCAUUUAAGAAACACCCUUUUGUUCUUUCUUUUACUCCACUGAUUUCAUAUUGCUAUAAAUUUGAUGAUCACCCUUGUGAACAAAUGCGCAACCAUUUGAACUGUUCAUCACACACCACCGAAAAAUUCUAAGACAAGAAAUAAAAUGAAGAAGCAGCAGCAGAUCACUAAUUUGUUCUUCUUUC
RNA transcript from Papaver somniferum (opium poppy), 1630 nucleotides. It is a transcript of the gene named alanine--tRNA ligase-like, with no coding region annotated. The transcript has 9 exons. NCBI's taxonomy places the organism in Eukaryota, Viridiplantae, Streptophyta, Magnoliopsida, Ranunculales, Papaveraceae. The record is from RefSeq and is a predicted model, not a curated record.